AUCGCUUCUCGGCCUUUUGGCUAAGAUCAAGUGUAGGAUUAUGAUUUUUCUUGUCCCUUGAAGAUUUGACCUUCU
Molecule: non-coding RNA, 75 nt
Organism: Podarcis lilfordi (Lilford's wall lizard)
Lineage: Eukaryota; Metazoa; Chordata; Lepidosauria; Squamata; Lacertidae
Source: the annotation of a GenBank genome assembly